RNAcentral lists this ribosomal RNA (465 nucleotides) under Vreelandella stevensii. Its description in RNAcentral is "partial 16S ribosomal RNA". It matches the Rfam family "Bacterial small subunit ribosomal RNA", at positions 338 to 795 of the family's 1533-position model. The record is from RNAcentral. Lineage: Bacteria; Pseudomonadati; Pseudomonadota; Gammaproteobacteria; Oceanospirillales; Halomonadaceae.
CCUACGGGGGGCAGCAGUGGGGAAUAUUGGACAAUGGGGGCAACCCUGAUCCAGCCAUGCCGCGUGUGUGAAGAAGGCCCUCGGGUUGUAAAGCACUUUCAGUGAGGAAGAACGCCUGGUGGUUAAUACCCAUCAGGAAAGACAUCACUCACAGAAGAAGCACCGGCUAACUCCGUGCCAGCAGCCGCGGUAAUACGGAGGGUGCGAGCGUUAAUCGGAAUUACUGGGCGUAAAGCGCGCGUAGGUGGCUUGAUAAGCCGGUUGUGAAAGCCCCGGGCUCAACCUGGGAACGGCAUCCGGAACUGUCGAGCUAGAGUGCAGGAGAGGAAGGUAGAAUUCCCGGUGUAGCGGUGAAAUGCGUAGAGAUCGGGAGGAAUACCAGUGGCGAAGGCGGUCUUCUGGACUGACACUGACACUGAGGUGCGAAAGCGUGGGUAGCAAACAGGAUUAGAUACCCUAGUAGUC